This 537-nucleotide ribosomal RNA is filed under the name uncultured Bacillota bacterium. RNAcentral's name for it is "bacterial SSU rRNA". It matches the Rfam family "Bacterial small subunit ribosomal RNA", at positions 350 to 877 of the family's 1533-position model. Lineage: Bacteria; Bacillati; Bacillota. The record is from RNAcentral.
AGCAGUAGGGAAUUUUUCGCAAUGGGCGAAAACCUGACGCAGCGACGCCGCGUGAGCGAAGAAGGCCUUCGGGUUGUAAAGGUCUGUUUUGAGGGGAGAAGGAGCGCCGUUCGAAGAGGGCGGCGCGGUGACGGUACCUCACGAGGAAGCCCCGGCUAACUACGUGCCAGCAGCCGCGGUAAUACGUAGGGGGCGAGCGUUUUCCGGAAUUAUUGGGCGUAAAGCGCGCGCAGGCGGUUCCUUAAGUCUGAUGUGAAAGCCCCCGGCUCAACCGUGGAGGGUCAUUGGAAACUGGGGGACUUGAGUGCAGGAGAGGAGAGCGGAAUUCCCCGUGUAGCGGUGAAAUGCGUAGAGAUGUGGAGGAACACCAGUGGCGAAGGCGGCUCUCUGGCCCGCAACUGACGCUGAGGCGCGAAAGCGUGGGGAGCAAACAGGAUUAGAUACCCUGGUAGUCCACGCCGUAAACGAUGAGUGGUAAGUGUUAGAGGGGUCACACCCUUUAGUGCCGCAGCUAACGCAAUAAGCACUCCGCCUGGA